AAUAAGAUUAUUUGUCAGUUUUUUGAUAUAAUGUUUUGACUUUUCGUCUUAUUUGAAAUUUUUUUACGAUUAAUAUUUGUAUUCUUACUAGAUAACAAAAUAAGAAUGGUACUUUAUACGUGACUAACUUUUUUAAGUUUUUAUACAAAUUUUUUAAAUAAGACGAAUGGUUAAAUAUUGGACGUAGAAAA
Molecule: microRNA precursor, 191 nt
Filed under: Oryza brachyantha (malo sina)
Lineage: Eukaryota; Viridiplantae; Streptophyta; Magnoliopsida; Poales; Poaceae
Description: MIR812 microRNA precursor family
Rfam family: MIR812 microRNA precursor family
Source: Rfam by way of RNAcentral